This 262-nucleotide ribosomal RNA is filed under the name uncultured bacterium. RNAcentral describes it as "partial small subunit ribosomal RNA". It matches the Rfam family "Bacterial small subunit ribosomal RNA", at positions 27 to 285 of the family's 1533-position model. The record is from RNAcentral.
GGGACGAACGCUGGCGGCGUGCUUAACACAUGCAAGUCGAACGGUGACAGGGGGAGCUUGCUCCCCCUUGAUCAGUGGCGAACGGGUGAGUAACACGUGAGUAACCUGCCCCAGACUCUGGAAUAACCCCGGGAAACCGGAGCUAAUACCGGAUACGAGACGGAGUCGCAUGACUACCGUCUGGAAAGUUUUCGGUCUGGGAUGGACUCGCGGCCUAUCAGCUUGUUGGUGAGGUAGUGGCUCACCAAGGCGACGACGGGUA